Molecule: unclassified non-coding RNA, 240 nt
Filed under: soil metagenome
Description: partial contains 5.8S ribosomal RNA, internal transcribed spacer 2, and large subunit ribosomal RNA
Source: RNAcentral
AACGCACGAGACCUGCGGACCUGCGGAGGGAUCAUUAAUGAGAAACUGCCCCUCGCGGGUAGAUCUCCCACCCUUUGUAAACUUACCUUUGUUGCUUUGGCAGGCCCGUCUCCGGACCGCCGGCUUCGGCAGGCCAGUGCCUGCCAGAGGAUUCUAAAACUCUGUCUGUCAGUGUUGUCUGAGUCUAUAUACAAUCGUUAAAACUUUCAACAACGGAUCUCUAGAUCGGAAGAGCACACG